UACGUAGGGGGCAAGCGUUAUCCGGAAUCACUGGGCGUAAAGGGUGCGUAGGCGGCUGAUCAAGCCAGGGGUGAAAGGCAAUAGCUUAACUAUUGUAAGCCUUUGGAACUGGUCAGCUUGAGUGCAGGAGAGGAAAGCGGAAUUCCUAGUGUAGCGGUGAAAUGCGUAGAUAUUAGGAGGAACACCCGUGGCGAAGGCGGCUUUCUGGACUGUAACUGACGCUGAGACGCGAAAGCGUGGGGAGC
Molecule: ribosomal RNA, 245 nt
Filed under: uncultured Acidaminobacter sp.
Lineage: Bacteria; Bacillati; Bacillota; Clostridia; Peptostreptococcales; Acidaminobacteraceae
Description: partial 16S ribosomal RNA
Rfam family: Bacterial small subunit ribosomal RNA
Source: RNAcentral